UACAGAGGUGGCAAGCGUUGUUCGGAAUUACUGGGCGUAAAGGGCGCGUAGGCGGUCCGAUACGUCCUGUGUGAAAUCCCUCGGCUCAACUGAGGAACUGCACGGGAGACUGUCGGGCUUGAGUUCGGGAGAGGGAAGCGGAAUUCCGGGUGUAGCGGUGAAAUGCGUAGAUAUCCGGAGGAACACCGGUGGCGAAGGCGGCUUCCUGGACCGACACUGACGCUGAGGCGCGAAAGCUAGGGGAGCAAACGGG
RNAcentral lists this ribosomal RNA (253 nucleotides) under uncultured bacterium. RNAcentral describes it as "partial 16S ribosomal RNA". It matches the Rfam family "Bacterial small subunit ribosomal RNA", at positions 524 to 776 of the family's 1533-position model. The record is from RNAcentral.